This 200-nucleotide unclassified non-coding RNA is filed under the name uncultured Exophiala. Its description in RNAcentral is "sequence contains ITS2". The record is from RNAcentral. Lineage: Eukaryota; Fungi; Ascomycota; Eurotiomycetes; Chaetothyriales; Herpotrichiellaceae.
UCACCUCUCAAGCCACCCUUCUUAAUUGAACCCGGCUUGGUGUUGGACGGUUUGGUGUCGGCAACGUCACCCCUCCCAAAGACAAUGACGGCGGCUUCAUGAGACCCCCGGUACAUUGAGUUCCUCACCGAACACGUACUGGAUCUAGGGUAGAUGAGGCCCCGGUCCAACUCCCUUUAUCGGGAGAAUCUUUUUUACAA